UAGGGAAUAUUGGACAAUGGAGGGAACUCUGAUCCAGCCAUGCCGCGUGGACGAUGACGGCGCUAUGCGUUGUAAAGUCCUUUUAAAUAGGAAGAAAAAGGUGCAUUUAUGCACAACUGACGGUACUAUUGGAAUAAGCACCGGCUAACUCCGUGCCAGCAGCCGCGGUAAUACGGAGGGUGCAAGCGUUAUCCGGAAUCACUGGGUUUAAAGGGUGCGUAGGCGGGGAAAUAAGUCAGAGGUGAAAUCUCGUCGCUUAACGACGGAAUUGCCUUUGAUACUGUUUUUCUUGAAAUAUGUUGAGGUUGGCGGAAUGUGACAUGUAGCGGUGAAAUGCUUAGAUAUGUCAUAGAACACCGAUUGCGAAGGCAGCUGACUGGGCAUUAUUUGACGCUGAUGC
RNAcentral lists this ribosomal RNA (400 nucleotides) under uncultured bacterium. RNAcentral's name for it is "bacterial SSU rRNA". It matches the Rfam family "Bacterial small subunit ribosomal RNA", at positions 355 to 752 of the family's 1533-position model. The record is from RNAcentral.